UGAGGAAUUUUGCGCAAUGGGCGCAAUCCUGACGCAGCAACGCCGCGUGGGUGAUGAAGGCCUUCGGGUCGUAAAGCCCUGUCAGGUGGGAAGAAUGUCCCGGGACUGAACAGGUUCCGGGAGUGACGGUACCACCAGAGGAAGCACCGGCUAACUCCGUGCCAGCCGCCGCGGUAAUACGGAGGGUGCAAGCGUUAUUCGGAAUUACUGGGCGUAAAGCGCGUGUAGGCGGUCCUGCAAGUCUGAUGUGAAAGCCCCGGGCGUAACCCGGGAAGUGCAUUGGAAACUGGGGGACUUGAGUACUGGAGAGGAUGGGGGAAUUCCCGGUGUAGAGGUGAAAUUCGUAGAGAUCGGGAGGAAUAUCAGUGGCGAAGGCGCCCAUCUGGACGGUAACUGACGCUGAGACGCGAAAGCGUGGGGAGCAAACA
Molecule: ribosomal RNA, 428 nt
Filed under: uncultured prokaryote
Description: bacterial SSU rRNA
Rfam family: Bacterial small subunit ribosomal RNA
Source: RNAcentral